Molecule: non-coding RNA, 72 nt
Organism: Reichenbachiella agariperforans
Lineage: Bacteria; Pseudomonadati; Bacteroidota; Cytophagia; Cytophagales; Reichenbachiellaceae
Source: Rfam
GGCCCUGUAGUUCAACGGAUAGAAUAGUCGUUUCCUAAACGAUUGAUCCAGGUUCGAUCCCUGGCAGGGCUA